AUUGAACGCUGGCGGCAGGCCUAACACAUGCAAGUCGAGCGAGUGGCGGACGGGUGAGUAAUGUCUGGGGAACUGCCCGAUGGAGGGGGAUAACUACUGGAAACGGUAGCUAAUACCGCAUACCAUCGGAUGAACCCAGAUGGGAUUAGCUGGUAGGGGAGGUAACGGUUCACCUAGGCGACGAUCCCUAGCUGGUCUGAGAGGAUGAACAGCCACACUGGAACUGAGACACGGGCCAGACUCCUCUGGGAGGCAGCAGGGGGGAAUAUUGCACAAUGGGGGCAAGCCUGAUGCAGCCAUGCCGCGUGUAUGAAGAAGGCCUUCGGGUUGUAAAGUACUUUCAGCGGGGAGGCGUUACUCGCAGAAGAAGCACCGGCUAACUCCGUGCCAGCAGCCGCGGUAAUUC
This 406-nucleotide ribosomal RNA is filed under the name uncultured bacterium. Its description in RNAcentral is "partial 16S ribosomal RNA". It matches the Rfam family "Bacterial small subunit ribosomal RNA", at positions 30 to 526 of the family's 1533-position model. The record is from RNAcentral.